Sorghum bicolor (sorghum) is the source of this 2398-nucleotide long non-coding RNA. RefSeq lists it as uncharacterized. Lineage: Eukaryota; Viridiplantae; Streptophyta; Magnoliopsida; Poales; Poaceae. The record is from RefSeq and is a predicted model, not a curated record. The transcript is spliced from 8 exons.
CUCGUCUCCACUCUCCUCUCUCUGUCUCCGAAACGCACGGACACUCUCAAUCCGCUGCCGUCCCCCUGCCGCCGCUCCCUCUCCUCCGACCCGGCCAUGGCCCUUCCAGCGCAUCUCCAGCUUGCACUCGGCUCGCAUCACCCAUCAGCAUAGAUCGAGGUCGCCCCUUGCUGUGUCCCCUCCGCUUCUGCCGCUUGAGCUCGCGAGUCGGAGCUCCAUUUGCUUGUGCAGGAGGAGAUCCACCGCUGCUCCAAGGCCUCCUGCUUUCCAUCCUCCUCCUCGUUGCUCACACCGGCAUCCGCUGUUGCGUUGUAUAUCGCCAAGCUUGCUCCAACGCUCCGGUAAGCAGGGAUGUCGUGGGCCCGUGGAACUGGGAUCCUAGAGUCGCCGUGCUCGCGGUGGCUGUCUGCAGGACGCAGGGUGGGGUGGUGCUUAGGAUACAGAAGCCGGUGGAGCGCUUUGUGGGCGGCCGCAUGAUUCUGGAGGUGAUGGCGCUGAUGGAGGGCCUCGACGCCACCCUGGGGUUGGGCAUCCACAGUGUCACUGCCGUCACUGGUUCCGCCCGCUCUACAACCAUGUGGACAUAAGGGUUACCCCUGGAUCAUAUGCAACUGAAGCUGCUGUAAAUAAGGAACUGAACGACAAAGAACGUGUUGCGGCUGCAUUGGAAAACUCAAACCUACUGGACAUGGUUGAAGAGUGCUUAUCAACAACAUUUGAAUGUUGAGGCCUGAAUACUAUAUCUGGGUGUCACAACGAUGAUGUUCAGAAGCCACAUAAGCUUAUUUCCAGUGGAGUUCACUUUUGUCUUUCUUGGAUCCUACUCUCCAGACCCUCUAAUUGCAUAUGCUGCUUUCUACGCCCCCAAGCCCGCUCCAACACAACCAAUUCAUAGUCUAGGCAUAGAAAUUAGUAGCUGACCUGCAGCGCACGAGUUUUACCCAUAAAAUGUGCGAUGGUUGGGGUUUGGCGACUGAUGGAAAAGUUCUUUUUGGCAGUGAUGGCACUUCAAUGCUGUAUAAGCUGGAUCCAAAGUCACUUGAAGUCAUGAAAGUGGUGACUGUCAAGUAUCACGGUGAUGAAGUCCCCUACCUUAGUGAGCUGGAGUAUAUAGAUGGUGAAGUCUGGGCAAAUGUCGGGCAGGUUAGAUGUAGUUCCUCCUAGCUAACAUAUCUUAUCAUGAAGUAUCUUAGUGAAACUAUGUACUGCAUUUCGCAAGGACCACUAUAUCUUCCAUUAGUAUCUUAGUGGCGACUCCAGGAUGUUAGACCAAGUACGAAUGAGGUUUAAAGGCUUCUCCGAUUAUUAUUUCUAGGUCUGUACCUCAACUUUCCUCAAAGUGACCAAGUUUCACUGAGUGAUGCUCUUCAUUUGGCCUAUUGAUGCCAAAUAGGUUGCUGGGUCCUUACUACAAUGCACUCACACUGUUUUUUUUUUCACGAUAAUUAGCCAUCUUAUGGGAGUUCCUCUACCCAAUUUUCUCUCCACUUAAUGCUAAGUGAUUUUCUGUAUUUCUAUGUAAUUUUGUUGUACCCUACUAAUAUAUGAUUUAUCAAUGUACGCAGAGAUAGAUACCUUGUAAUUUUCUAUAAUGUCUGACCUAGGCAUCUGAAUUUUGAAAGCUAUGAUACGCAGACAGAUUGCAUAGCUAGAGUGUCCCCUAAAAUGGCCUAGUGGUGGGCUGGAUCUUUCUUCAUGAGCUGAGGCGGCAAUUGUGGAACUCAGGCAAUACGGGUUGUGGACGCCCGUGUAUGGCUGCUAGGCGGCCAGGGAUGCCGCCGCUGCUGGCCGAGGACUGGCCAGGGCUAGAGCCGCCUACUCUUUGGAAACGAAGGCAGGAAACGCAAGAUCGCAGAGCUGACGCGGUGGUCCUCGACGGCUUCAAGGACGGGCGAGCAACGAGGGCGACGAGCAAUGUCCUGGCAACGCAGGAUCACAGGGGGGGUUUGAUGUGCAAGUACCUGGCAACGUAGGAUCGCGCAGGGCUGAUGGGCGAGGUCGUGUGAGGUGCGACGUGCGAGGUGCGAGUACCUGGCAACGCAGGAUCGCGCAGGGCUGAUGUCGUGGUCCUCGACGGCUUCAAGGACAGGCGAGCGAGGGCGAGGAAGGAUGGUCGACGGUGAGGUCGGGCGAGGGCGACGGUGAGGUCGGUCGAGGGCGUGUUCAGGGAACUGGCAACGCAGGAUCGGAAAGGAUGUUUUGUUUCCUUUACGAGGGACCGAAAUUUUAGCUACGGAAGACUACGUAGGAUAGAAAGAGAUGCAAAUUUCAUAUCAGGAAUCCUAUAUUUUUUCAUAUUUUAUUUCGCACCCUUACACAUCCCUGUUUAUAUAUUAUUCUUUAUUGUAAAUUUACAUUAGGAAUCCUUUCUUGUUUUUUUAUUCAAUUUUCACCCUUC